CCUACGGGAGGCAGCAGUGAGGAAUAUUGGUCAAUGGGCGAGAGCCUGAACCAGCCAAGUCGCGUGAGGGAGUACUGUCCUAUGGGUUGUAAACCUCUUUUGUCGGGGAGCAAAAGCUGGACCUCUUCGCCGGUGAGAGUAUCCGAAGAAAAAACAUCGGCCAACGCCGUGUCAGCAGCCGCGGGAAUAUGGAGGAUGCGAGCGGUAUCCGGAUUUAUUGGGUUUAAAGGGUGCGCAGGCGGAUUUUUUAGUCAGCGGUAAAAUCGUGGGGCUCAACCCCCUCCAGCCGUUGAAACUGGGGAUCUAGAGUGUGCGAGAGGUAUGCGGAAUGCGUGGUGUAGCGGUGAAAUGCAUAGAUAUCACGCAGAACCCCGAUUGCGAAGGCAGCAUACCGGUGCACAACUGACGCUCAGGCACGAAAGCGUGGGUAUCGAACAGGAUUAGAUACCCGAGUAGUC
This 458-nucleotide ribosomal RNA is filed under the name uncultured bacterium. RNAcentral describes it as "partial 16S ribosomal RNA". It matches the Rfam family "Bacterial small subunit ribosomal RNA", at positions 338 to 795 of the family's 1533-position model. The record is from RNAcentral.